RNAcentral lists this unclassified non-coding RNA (599 nucleotides) under Melitaea cinxia (Glanville fritillary). Its description in RNAcentral is "misc RNA ENSMCXG00005018229.1". The record is from RNAcentral. Lineage: Eukaryota; Metazoa; Arthropoda; Insecta; Lepidoptera; Nymphalidae.
AUUUUAUAGCAAGUAUCCAAUAAAAUGACAACUUUGCGAAGAUUUCGUGUUUAUCAAACUGUCAGAUUCUAGAAUCAAAACUUGAUCAAAACAAUCUUAAUUUUUAUAUGUAUUUCUAAGUUUAAUGAACAAACAUUAAACUACAAUAAUGCUCACGUUGUGGAACCUAUUCGAAGCUUCUUUGCUGUGCCUAAAUGCUGUCUGCGUACUCCAUGAAGAAAGAUUUAUGCAAAAGAUGGGAUGGGGUGCUAAUAACCGAAAUCAAGGGUUUGAAGACCAAUCAUCAAUAAAAUUCCAAAUUUUAAACUUAGUUAGAUCAAUAAGGACAGUGACAAGAAUUCCACUCAUUAUACUGAAUAUUUUAACAAUAAUAUUUAAAUUAUUAUUAGGGUAACAGAGUCUUUAUAACACAUGAAGCUAUCCAUAUGAUAAAGUGUAAGAUGUGAAGGAACUUACUUUUAAUUUGUUUAUAAAAGAAUUUGUCAACAUCACUGGUAUUUUAUUUACUUAAUCCCUUUCAUACAACAAACCGUCUCAUGCUACAUCUAUCUAUGUCUAUCUGUUCAAAAUGAACUCAACAACUACCAAACGGAUGUUCA